CGUACUUACGUGUAAGUAUUUGACGGUAGUACAGGAAUAAGCAUCGGCUAACUCCGUGCCAGCAGCCGCGGUAAUACGGAGGAUGCAAGCGUUAUCCGGAUUCAUUAGGUUUAAAGGGUGCGCAGGCGGAAUAAUAAGUCAGUGGUGAAAUCUUGCCGCUUAACGGUGAAACUGCCAUUGAAACUGUUAUUCUUGAGUGUAGUUGAGGUAGGCGGAAUGUGUAGUGUAGCGGUGAAAUGCUUAGAUAUUACACAGAACACCUAUUGCGAAGGCAGCUUACUAAACUACUACUGACGUUGAGGCACGAAAGCGUGGGGAGCGAACAGGAUUAGAUACCCUGGUAGUCCACGCUGUAAACUAUGAUCACUCGUUGUUCGUGAUACAUUGUGAGCGACCAAGCGAAAGCAUUAAGUGAUCCACCUGGGGAUUACGUCGGCAACGAUGAAACUCAAAGGAAUUGACGGGGGCCCGCACAAGCGGAGGAACAUGUGGUUUAAUUCGAUGAUACGCGAGGAACCUUACCUGGGCUUAAAUGCAGAACGAUAUAUCGGGAAACUGGUAUUCCCUUCGGGGCGGACUGCAAGGUGCUGCAUGGUUGUCGUCAGCUCGUGCCGUGAGGUGUCGGGUUAAGUCCCAUAACGAGCGCAACCCUUAUUGUUAGUUGCCAGCGGGUAAUGCCGGGGACUCUAACGGAACUGCCAUCGUAAGGUGGAGGAAGGUGGGGAUGACGUCAAAUCAGCACGGCCCUUAUGUCCAGGGCUACACACGUGUUACAAUGGCCAGUACAAAGGGCAGCUACCUGGAGACAGGAUGCUAAUCUCGAAAACUGGUCUCAGUUCGGAUCGUAGUCUGCAAUUCGACUACGUGAAGUUGGAUUCGCUAGUAAUCGCGCAUCACCCAUGGCGCGCUGAUACGUUCCCGGGCAUUGACACACCGCCCGUCAAGCCAUGGAAGCCGGGAGU
Molecule: ribosomal RNA, 962 nt
Filed under: uncultured organism
Description: bacterial SSU rRNA
Rfam family: Bacterial small subunit ribosomal RNA
Source: RNAcentral